GUCUUUUUGAUAANUAANUUUAAAGUCUAGUCUGCCCAAUGNANNAUUANUUGAAUGGCCGCGGNNUAUUUUGACUGUGCAAAGGUAGCAUAAUAAUUAGUUUUUUAAUUGAAAGCUGGUAUGAAUGGCUGAACGAGAAAAUUACUGUCUCAAGUUNAAAUUUAUUAGAAUUUUAUUUUUAAGUUAAAAAGCUUAAAUUAAAUUAAAAGACGAGAAGACCCUAUAGAGUUUNAAUAAUUAUUUAGNAUUNNUUNUGNUUUUAGAAAUANANNNAUUUUAUUNUAAAUAAUUAUUUUAUUGGGGUGAUAUAUAAAUUUAGUAAACUUUANUNAAAUNUUAGUACAUAUUUUUAUGAUUAAGUGAUCCAUUAUUNUAUGAUUAUAAGAUUUAAUUACCUUAGGGAUAACAGCGUAAUCUUUUUAAAGAGUUCUAAUCGAAAAAAAGGAUUGCGACCUCGAUGUUGGAUUAAAAUUAAUAUUUGGUGUAGAAGCUNAANAUUAUUAGGUCUGUUCGACCUUUAAAAUUUUACAUGAUCUGAGUUUAAAUCGGUGUGAGCCAGGUUGGUUUCUAUCUUUAAUAUNAAUAAAUUAUUUUAGUACGAAAGG
RNAcentral lists this ribosomal RNA (605 nucleotides) under Mesoceration longipenne. RNAcentral's name for it is "partial large subunit ribosomal RNA". It matches the Rfam family "Bacterial large subunit ribosomal RNA", at positions 1825 to 2690 of the family's 2925-position model. The record is from RNAcentral. Lineage: Eukaryota; Metazoa; Arthropoda; Insecta; Coleoptera; Hydraenidae.